ACGAACGCUGGCGGCGUGCUUAACACAUGCAAGUCGCACGAUGAUGCCAGCUUGCUGGUGGAUUAGUGGCGAACGGGUGAGUAACACGUGAGCAACCUGCCCCUGACUUCGGGAUAACCGCGGGAAACCGUGGCUAAUACCGGAUAUGACGCGCUAUCGCAUGGUGGUGUGUGGAAAGAUUUAUCGGUUGGGGAUGGGCUCGCGGCCUAUCAGCUUGUUGGUGGGGUGAUGGCCUACCAAGGCGACGACGGGUAGCCGGCCUGAGAGGGUGACCGGCCACACUGGGACUGAGACACGGCCCAGACUCCUACGGGAGGCAGCAGUGGGGAAUAUUGCACAAUGGGCGCAAGCCUGAUGCAGCGACGCCGCGUGAGGGAUGACGGCCUUCGGGUUGUAAACCUCUUUCAGUAGGGAAGAAGGCCUUCGGGUUGACGGUACCUGCAGAAGAAGCGCCGGCUAACUACGUG
This 467-nucleotide ribosomal RNA is filed under the name uncultured bacterium. RNAcentral describes it as "partial 16S ribosomal RNA". It matches the Rfam family "Bacterial small subunit ribosomal RNA", at positions 29 to 507 of the family's 1533-position model. The record is from RNAcentral.